This is a long non-coding RNA of Pangasianodon hypophthalmus (striped catfish), 765 nucleotides long. RefSeq lists it as uncharacterized. The record is from RefSeq and is a predicted model, not a curated record. The transcript is spliced from 3 exons. NCBI's taxonomy places the organism in Eukaryota, Metazoa, Chordata, Actinopteri, Siluriformes, Pangasiidae.
CCCUAACAUUAGGGUUAAUUAGACAUUCUCCAUUUCUGAAUGUCUAAAUAUCUAGAUCUAGAUAUCUGAUCUAGAUAUUUUUUAAACCUACACAAAUAAUUGUAAUUAUUCACUGUGAUUUGAACAUUGAACAAAAUGAUCUUUAGUGUUUAGCUGUACAGUAAUUUCACAUUCUGUCAUGACCCAGCAUAGUAAGGAAGUACAUUACUUUUUAACCAAAGCAGCUUACAGUUAAAACAGAAUACGAAACACAGAAGUAGGAUUAGGAGUUUUGCUCAAGGGUCCAAACGUGGCUCUUGGGCAGUAUUGGGAUUUAAACUCACAACCACCUGGUCACUAGUUUAGAAACCACUGAACUUUCAGAUUUUAUUAGUAUUUCUAAUAAUCACUGAUUUCAACAUACUCAAAUGAGCUCAGGAGAAUCAUAAAGGCUUGUAAAUACUCUAGAAAAUGAUUGCAGUCGUAAUUGCAUUGUCCACUAGAUGGCGCCAUUUGCUAAAACGCUUUGUUCCUGCAGUUAGCUUAUAGGAUCAGUGAACUGUGAUACAGUGAACUGUUUGGGGAAAAGCUAGAAACAGGGAAAUUCACUUAUAUAGUCUUCUUGUACGCGAAGCCAGCCCAGUUUUCUGAAAUAACCCGGAGAACAAAAAUGCCAUGAUGAAAUGUCCAUGUUAUUAAUCAAAAGCAGCCUGAGAGCAAAGAAUGAGAGCAGCUGAACAUCACUGUCUUCACUAUAGUGCUGUCUGUCUCAUCACACACUCCUGU